AGUGAACGCUGGCGGUAGGCCUAACACAUGCAAGUCGAACGGCAGCACAGUAAGAGCUUGCUCUUACGGGUGGCGAGUGGCGGACGGGUGAGGAAUACAUCGGAAUCUACUUUUUCGGGGGGGAUAACGUAGGGAAACUUACGCUAAUACCGCAUACGACCUACGGGUGAAAGCAGGGGAUCUUCGGACCUUGCGCGAUUGAAUGAGCCGAUGUCGGAUUAGCUAGUUGGCGGGGUAAAGGCCCACCAAGGCGACGAUCCGUAGCUGGUCUGAGAGGAUGGUCGGCGACACUGGAGCUGGGACACGGUCCUGGCUCCUACGGGAGGCAGCAGUGGGGUAUAUUGGACAAUGGGCGCGAGCCUGAUCCAGCCAUCCCGCGUGUGUGAAGAAGACCUUCGGGUUGUAAAGCCCUUUUGUUGGGAAAGAAAAGCAGCAGGUUAAUACCCCGCUGUUCUGACGGUACCCAAAGAAUAAGCACCGGCUAACUUCGUG
RNAcentral lists this ribosomal RNA (492 nucleotides) under uncultured bacterium. Its description in RNAcentral is "partial 16S ribosomal RNA". It matches the Rfam family "Bacterial small subunit ribosomal RNA", at positions 29 to 507 of the family's 1533-position model. The record is from RNAcentral.